UCUAGAAUUGAUAUUGUUCCAUUCAGUCCUUAAAAUAUGAAUUCAGGGAGAAUAUAAUGUCUAUUUUCUCCUUAGUGGUUCUAAAAGUGAUCUUGGUGGGGGUGGGAGUGGGGAAGGUGAUGUUUAAACAAGACUCAUGAACAACUUGCUACAGGAAAAUUCUGAAUCUGUGUUUACAUCUGUUAAUGUGUACCCUAUCACAAGUUCACAUGACAGCAAUGCACUGCAGGAAAUGGGGAUCAAACCACAAAAGCAGCAGCCUCGGGAAUGAGCAGGCUUUGGUAAGAACAAUGGAAAAAUCAAGUGUCUUGACCUGAUGUCCUUUCAACCAGCUCCCAGAUUUUUCAGGAGGUGCAUGAUCCAACUUGGGGGAUUACUCAAACUCUUUGCUUUUUCCAUCUCUUGGUUUGCCUGCUUUGGGAGUCAUUCCACCGAUCUCUGGUACCUUUACCCAAGCGUGAGCGAGUGGAAGGAAAAGAGAUGACAGUUGAAUACCUUCAUUUCGGAGUCUCAUAUUAGUCAGCAUCAUCACGGGAAACUGUUCGCUUUUCUGGAUAGUUUGGAACCACGAGAACAGGUUUUUUUUUUUCCCCCUCAGGCCCACCCAACAGCUGGUAUGCAUUACUGGGAUUUGCCUUCUAUCUUUAAGAGGCAGGAAAACUGAGAGGCCAAAUUCAAGUCUGGCUUCCAGGAUGGCCCUUUGGUCUCACACGUAUCACUGGCUAAAGUCUUGUGGAACACAGCAGAAGAUGUGGCGAUGAGAUGGAGCGUGUACGGAGCACAGAGUGUGAGAAGAUUGGUUCUACUUUAAAUGCUUUUAGUUGAGCUAUUUUGGGUUCUGUCAUUUCUCUCCCUGGAUAUUCAAGGACCAUCCUCCUGAUUUUUCCUAUCCCCCCCCUCCCCGCCCAGGUUAUAACUGUUUAAACAUGUACAUAUAUAAAUGCACGGAAAGCCUAACAUCCACACUGCAAACUUGAACUAGAUGCCAUGAUUUUCCUGCCUUUUCUAGGGAAGGGGCUUUGGAGUCUCAGUUCUGCAUACAUGGUUGAGAAACUGAACUUUUGCCUUCUGUUGGUCUUUUAAGUUUUUACCUUUUGUAGCUGCAGUUUUCUCAUUGCUGUAGGUUUUUUUUAAAAUAAUUUAUGCAAGUGUUUGGUUUCCAUGUUUACAAUUUAUACAGCUUUCCUAGCAGUUUAAAUGGAAAUGUCAAUAAAUACUAUGAAUUGGUGUCAAA
Long non-coding RNA from Gracilinanus agilis (Agile Gracile Mouse Opossum), 1234 nucleotides. RefSeq lists it as uncharacterized. The transcript is spliced from 2 exons. The record is from RefSeq and is a predicted model, not a curated record. Lineage: Eukaryota; Metazoa; Chordata; Mammalia; Didelphimorphia; Didelphidae.